UAGGUGUGUACUAUCAUGCCAGAC
This 24-nucleotide non-coding RNA is filed under the name Mus musculus (house mouse). The record is from RNAcentral. Lineage: Eukaryota; Metazoa; Chordata; Mammalia; Rodentia; Muridae.